Molecule: ribosomal RNA, 454 nt
Filed under: uncultured organism
Description: partial 16S ribosomal RNA
Rfam family: Bacterial small subunit ribosomal RNA
Source: RNAcentral
CGUACACUCCUACGGGAGGCAGCAGUGGGGAAUAUUGGACAAUGGGCGCAAGCCUGAUCCAGCCAUGCCGCGUGAGUGAUGAAGGCCCUAGGGUUGUAAAGCUCUUUUGUGCGGGAAGAUAAUGACGGUACCGCAAGAAUAAGCCCCGGCUAACUUCGUGCCAGCAGCCGCGGUAAUACGAAGGGGGCUAGCGUUGCUCGGAAUCACUGGGCGUAAAGGGUGCGUAGGCGGGUCUUUAAGUCAGGGGUGAAAUCCUGGAGCUCAACUCCAGAACUGCCUUUGAUACUGAAGAUCUUGAGUUCGGGAGAGGUGAGUGGAACUGCGAGUGUAGAGGUGAAAUUCGUAGAUAUUCGCAAGAACACCAGUGGCGAAGGCGGCUCACUGGCCCGAUACUGACGCUGAGGCACGAAAGCGUGGGGAGCAAACAGGAUUAGAAACCCGUGUAGUCCCAUGA